This 468-nucleotide ribosomal RNA is filed under the name uncultured bacterium. RNAcentral's name for it is "partial 16S ribosomal RNA". It matches the Rfam family "Bacterial small subunit ribosomal RNA", at positions 28 to 507 of the family's 1533-position model. The record is from RNAcentral.
GAUGAACGCUGGCGGCGUGCUUAACACAUGCAAGUCGAACGGAAAGGCCAGUGCUUGCACUGGUACUCGAGUGGCGAACGGGUGAGUAACACGUGGGUGAUCUGCCCUGCACUUCGGGAUAAGCCUGGGAAACUGGGUCUAAUACCGGAUAGGACAAUGGUUUGGAUGCCGUUGUGGAAAGUUUUUUCGGUGUGGGAUGAGCUCGCGGCCUAUCAGCUUGUUGGUGGGGUAAUGGCCUACCAAGGCGUCGACGGGUAGCCGGCCUGAGAGGGUGUACGGCCACAUUGGGACUGAGAUACGGCCCAGACUCCUACGGGGGGCAGCAGUGGGGAAUAUUGCACAAUGGGCGCGAGCCUGAUGCAGCGACGCCGCGUGGGGGAUGACGGCCUUCGGGUUGUAAACUCCUUUCGCUAGGGACGAAGCGUAUUUGUGACGGUACCUGGAGAAGAAGCACCGGCUAACUACGUG